UCCGGUUUGGCACCGGCAGUCUCCAAUGAGUCCCCGGCAUUACCCGCUGGCAACAUUGGACAGGGGUUGCGCUCGUUGCGCCACUUAAGGCAACACCUCACGGCACGAGCUGACGACAGCCAUGCAGCACCUGUGCAGGCUCCCGAAGGAGCACCGGCUUUCACCGGUUUCACCCUGCAUGUCAAGCCCAGGUAAGGUUCUUCGCGUUGCAUCGAAUUAAUCCGCAUGCUCCGCCGCUUGUGCGGGCCGGACUGCCCCUUUGGGGAGGAAGGUGGGGAUGACGUCGGUCAGUCAA
Molecule: unclassified non-coding RNA, 295 nt
Filed under: uncultured Actinomycetes bacterium
Lineage: Bacteria; Bacillati; Actinomycetota; Actinomycetes
Description: uncultured actinobacterium contains 16S-23S intergenic spacer region
Source: RNAcentral